RNAcentral lists this unclassified non-coding RNA (197 nucleotides) under plant metagenome. Its description in RNAcentral is "partial contains small subunit ribosomal RNA and internal transcribed spacer 1". The stretch from base 1 to 46 matches the Rfam family "Eukaryotic small subunit ribosomal RNA", at positions 1786 to 1831 of the family's 1831-position model. The record is from RNAcentral.
AAGUCGUAACAAGGUCUCCGUAGGUGAACCUGCGGAGGGAUCAUUACUGAGUGAGGGCCCUCGUGGUCCGACCUCCAACCCAUUGUUGUCCGACUCUGUUGCCUCGGGGGCGACCCGGCGCUUCGGCGCCCGGGGGUCCCCGCUGGUCCACACAACUCUGCAUCUUUGCGUCUGAGUAAACAUUAAAUGAAACAAAA